UACGGAGGGUGCAAGCGUUAUCCGGAUUCACUGGGUUUAAAGGGUGCGUAGGUGGGCUGGUAAGUCAGUGGUGAAAUCCCCGAGCUUAACUUGGGAACUGCCAUUGAUACUAUCGGUCUUGAAUACCGUGGAGGUCAGCGGAAUAUGUCAUGUAGCGGUGAAAUGCUUAGAUAUGACAUAGAACACCAAUUGCGAAGGCAGCUGGCUACACGAAUAUUGACACUGAGGCACGAAAGCGUGGGGAUCAAACAGG
RNAcentral lists this ribosomal RNA (253 nucleotides) under uncultured bacterium. RNAcentral's name for it is "partial 16S ribosomal RNA". It matches the Rfam family "Bacterial small subunit ribosomal RNA", at positions 524 to 776 of the family's 1533-position model. The record is from RNAcentral.